GAAACGUGAUGACAAAAUACUUUUUUGGUUAUAAAAACCUAAAUUUUUCCUGAGAAAGAAUUAUUACACAAAUUAUAUCUAAAGUUGACAUGAAUAUAAACAGCAUCUACACUACACAAAAAUUAUUUUUUACUUUUAAGAAUUCAAUCAGACUACUUUCUACUCUCAAGAACGCUAUAUCGGUGCAUGCUUGCAACAAUAACGAGACAAAGUUGUGGGAUCCAUUUCGCUCAAUUUUCGAUCAAUGGAGAACAGCAAAGAGCGAAUUCUGUUGGAUAGAAGUUCGUGUACCGCGCGACCAUCAAAACAGGAUCCGAACCAGCCAACUUCCACCUCUCAGUGCCAGAGUCAAUUUUGGAGUUCGUUGCAACCGCCCACGUCCGACUAUAGCGCGCAAGAUGGCGAUGAGUUUGCAAAGGAGGAAUCUAAUGAACAUCUCGAGACUUUGAAAUUUGUGUUUCCAAAGAAGGUCAAGGCUCGUGGAAGAAGAAAAGCAAACGUCAACAAGCGUAGAGUCACGUUCGCUGAUCAUUAAACUCGUUCGCGCGACAAGCAUUACGUUACAUUAAAAACUGCAGCAAAUGUAAAUAUUGUAUUACACACAUUCGACCGACGCCCGAUCAGAUUUUUCUGUGUAAUAAGAUUUUUCGAUUUCAAAGGCGCGAGUACAGAUGAUGCGGUUUUUAUCGUCGGAAAAUUCUGUAACCGAUAUAUUUGUUAACGAUACUCUCGAUCAUUAAAAGAAAGAUAUUGUCACACACACAGUGUCCUUGUUUAUGAUAAUAAUAUUUUAUUUAUAUUACUUAUAUUUGACUUAUCCAAUAAUGUCGUCUAGGAAUGUGAUUUUCUCAAGUUUUUCGAUUUGCGAUAUUUUAUUAAGACGUUUAAAUAUUUACUUAGCCGAUCGACUGUCGAUUGUUGAAUGCAAUGUCACUUUUAGAGCGAUGUGUUGAAAACUUCAAACCAUUUUUGACACUUAUAACAAAAUUUUCUGUAUUAUUUCAAACUCUCAAAAUUCCAAGUAGAUCGAAAUUUAAACUAAUUUAAUUAAAUAUUACAUGAAUAAGAACAAACAUGAAUGGAUUCAGGAAUUGGGCAUUGCAUGAUCUAUCAUAUAUUUUGCCUACUAAAUCCUUGCAGCAUGAAACGCACGCGUCCACGAAUACAUUUAAACGUUGUCUUUCAAAUUUCCUCAACUCCUCUCGCAAGCAAGAGAAUGCUCGUGAGAGCAGAAGAAUUAAUUUAACAACAGUUUCCAAUAAUCUGGAACCUAUCUUUACAACAUGGAUGGCAUUACCUGAAAUCACUAUGACAUCCUUCAAUUCUCGAUUGCCCACAUAUUUUUUGCCUUUGUCUCUCAAAGUGAAUACGGAAAUAACGCAUCCAGAGGCAUUGAAACCUCUCAUUAAGUACAAAGAGUUAUUAGAAGGAAAUCCAGUAUCUAGAGACAAAUACUACAAAAGGCUUUUAAACAUUCAGGUUAAUGAUUUUGAUUUUAUGUAUAACGACAAUGUGAUAAAACCUAGUAAUGUCCACUGCGAUGAUUGCCGUUCAAAAAUAAUGUUCACUCUUCAAGAAAGUCAAGAACCCAAAAUUAAUCAUACAAUCGAGCAAGAAUCAACUGAUAAUUUAUUGAUUUGUACCACUGGGAAAAAUUUGGAUUCUUCGUCUUGCACAAAGUUAAAAUUAGAAACAGUAAAAAUCAAGCAGCAAGAGUCACGAGAUCAGUUCAAAUUACAGGACAAUCAAUAUUCACGAAAAUAUAACUCGUCGCAAUCUCUAGAAUUUCAGAAUUACAUGUGGAAAGAUCUCUCGAGCACAACGAAGCAAGGGAUUCAGUUUUUGCAUAAUUCUCGAUGUGUUUUGCAAACGCCUACAAAUAUCUCCAAACCAUUACCAUCUUUACUUGAAACAUUGAAAAUAUCGUCUCGAUUUGGUAACUUGACCUACUCCGGAAGUUUGGGAAAUCAAGGAUUUCGAAAUACUUCGUUGUGUCUACCUUCUGUAUCGCGUCGUGUUUUCUCCUCAAAAAGUUGCACCGUGAUUCAGCAAUCUAUUCGAGAGUUUGAAAACUUGAAGAAGAGAGAGGAUCAGAGCGCGAAUACAUUGAUUAUUCGUUUGAGAAAUACGCGAUCGUAUCCAGAUCGCGUUUCUCUGAUGAGACUGCAAUCGUUUUCCUGCGACACUUCAAAGUCGAAAAAAUCCGCCGAUUGCGAGAAGGAUGAUAAGUCAUAUCGAUCGAAAUGUGAAGAUGAGAUCGAGAAAGGUUACGACACGUGUUCUCAAGACAUUGCGAGGAGCCGCUUUGAAAGUAAAAAAAUCUGCGGGAAAACGCGACGGAAGGACACGUGCGUCUCGUCUCAAGAUGACAUGGGUGAGAAACAACAAGAGAGAAAAUCUAAGCUCAACAAAAAGUACAUAUGUCCCGAACUGAACCGACCAAAGCCAUGCACUUGGAAUAAGGAGCGAUGUCCUGAAACUCAUCGGAAGUGUGACGAGAAUAAAACACGAGUCUCAUCAAAGGAUCGCGCACGGCAAUCGAGAGAUUCGAGUUAUUCACAGAAACAAGAUAUUAACAGAAGAUGUAAUAAAAAACGGCAAUCAAAAUCAUAUAAGCAACGUGACGAUUGCGAAAAAGCUGAUGAACCACGUAUAGUCUGUAAAGAGUCUAUGAAAAAAACGGAUAAAUUUGAAUCAAGAUGCAAGAAGCAACAUGUAGAGUGCGACAUUAGUGAGAAAGAACGACGAAAGUGCUCCGGAAACAAUCGAAAGCGAUCUAACAGCUACCGUAAAAGAAAUUCUUCCCGAACUAGUGAUAAAAGCUGCAGCAAAGUAGACGGAAAGCGAUAUUACUCAACAAGCGAUAUUACGAAACAAUCAAUUUUCUCCGUCCCGCCGAAUCGUAAAUCUUUCUCCAAUUCGAUUUCCGAUAUCAUUCGCAUAAAUGUAAGCAAGAGAUUUUAUGUUAACUGCAGCAAAAACAAAAAAGAUCGAAGACAGGCUCCGUCUUGUGAGAAACCAAAAAUGAAGUACGAAACCAAGAAAAAAGAGGAAAUUAAGAAAAAGUGCGUGAAAGGUCCUGCUAAAUGUAUGUCGAGAAAAAAGACUACUGAUAAGACGCAAAUCUAUCAAUCUACGAAAAAAGACGAAGACAAGAAAUUUUGUGAAUCCACGAAAAAAUCUCGUCACGAAGAAUUUUGUGUCAGCAGAAAAAAAGAACUUAAAAGAGACGAAAGGCUUAAAAAAGAACCAGUGAAAGCACCUCCAUCACUUGUAAAAGAUAAAAAGUCUAUGGGACAAUUGAUGAAGGAACAGAUAGAUCGCGAGUAUAAAGAGAUAGACGAAUGCAAGAAGGGCUUCAAAAAAGAGAAAAAGAGCGAUAGAGUCAAAAUGGUUUCCUCAGAAAAGCCGACGGGCUUGGAUCGCAUGAUCAAUUCAUAUAAAAAACAGGAAAAGCAGGAUAUCGAAAAGUUUGUAAGCACACGUAACGAAUCAAUCAUUUCUACGGACGCCGUGUUUAAGUGGUUCAACAUUCAAUCUAGGAUUAUUAAUGGCACGAUUCCAAUUAUUGCCAAGGAUGUCGGACUGUUCAAUGUAAUGUUUGAUCGAUCGUUCUCUACUGCGAAACUGGAUUAUCAGGAUGAUUUUGCUAUCGGACGAACUAUGAACGAUGAUAAAAUAGUUCAGAACUAUUCCGCGAAUGGCGACGAUUUUAUUCAUGGUGAUGAAUUGCCGAAUUAUAUUGAAAUAGAGUAUGAGGACGAAGAAGAUGACGUUCACGAGGAUCACUAACCGACCGGUCUCCAAAAUCAAUUGAAUCUUACGCAAAAGUCACACAUGACUUGGACGAUCGUCGAUUACUCCCCGAGGGACAAAUACGAGUUGAACGAGUGAAACGCAAAUGCGGAGCCUUACGGGGGUUUUGCUCCUUCACGAGACGUCUUUGUAUCGCGACGGAGGCGUGAAUGGCAGUGGGCCAGGAGGCCCAAUUAUGAGUUAUUCAGUCCUCGCCACGGGGUAUCGCGGUGCCGCUCUACCGUCGGUGUAUGCACCUACCUGGCGCCUCCCCCUUCAUUUCGCGUGAGAGCGAGAAAGAGCGAGAAAGAGCGUGCAAGCUGCUGGGACGCGAGACGGGACGACGGGGGUUGAAACGCGGGAUGUAUGGGGUAGAGAACGUGAGGACGUCUCUGCGGGAUUCCCUCCGCCACUUAUGGGAAUGCGAUACGAGCUUUUCGUCGGAUGCUCUCUUGCGUUUUCGCAUUGUUACGCAACCGUCCUUCUCGCGUCCGCGUCACCCUCGUGCACUCCGACAAAGGGAAUCAAUGUCAAUGCGCCGUGCCAUGUUCAUGCUCUGGAGAGGACAAGGAAAGUGAGACUGCUGAAAUGAUGAUUGAGACGAAACUGUCUGUAUCGUGCUCGAUCAGACAUGCGAAGUAAAGUGACGGUAAGGACAUCAUGACGAAUGCGAAUCGGCGCAACUUAUUGUCCCAUCAGCAAGAUCGAGCGAUCGCGGCUCUUUAGAACGAAUCGAGAGGGUUUCUUGCACGUCACAUUAUGGUGUCAACGACUUCUUCGUGGACCACAAACCGCUGGCAUCCGUGUAUCGAGAAUGAAUGGCGUCGCAACGGGUGGCAGGGAGGCGUAUACAACUCGAAUAAAAUGUAUCAAUUCCGUCCUCAUGACGCCGGGGUUCCUUUCCUCGAGGAUCGAUUGUGCGCUCCUUGAAGGACGGAAGUCCCGCAACGGACAACGUCUAUUAUUAGUGCGCGAUGUUGUUCAAUUAUGCGAAUUA
Molecule: RNA transcript, 4792 nt
Organism: Trachymyrmex cornetzi
Lineage: Eukaryota; Metazoa; Arthropoda; Insecta; Hymenoptera; Formicidae
Exons: 11
Source: RefSeq, a predicted model, not a curated record